AUUGCUUCUUGGCCUUUUGGCUAAGAUCAAGUGUAGUAUCUGUAAGUGUUGACCCAGUAAGCUGUAUUCUUCUGAGCUUAGGAAUCUUA
Heterocephalus glaber (naked mole-rat) is the source of this 89-nucleotide small nuclear RNA. Its record names the gene U2. It matches the Rfam family "U2 spliceosomal RNA". Rfam says of the family: U2 is a small nuclear RNA (snRNA) component of the spliceosome (involved in pre-mRNA splicing). Complementary binding between U2 snRNA (in an area lying towards the 5' end but 3' to hairpin I) and the branchpoint sequence (BPS) of the intron results the bulging out of an unpaired adenosine, on the BPS, which initiates a nucleophilic attack at the intronic 5' splice site, thus starting the first of two transesterification reactions that mediate splicing. The record is from Ensembl. Lineage: Eukaryota; Metazoa; Chordata; Mammalia; Rodentia; Bathyergidae.